GGUUCUGGCAUCGAUGAAGAACGCAGCGAAAUGCGAUAAGUAGUGUGAAUUGCAGAAUUCAGUGAAUCAUCGAAUCUUUGAACGCACAUUGCGCCCCUUGGUAUUCCAUGGGGCAUGCCUGUUCGAGCGUCAUUUGUACCCUCAAGCUCUGCUUGGUGUU
RNAcentral lists this ribosomal RNA (160 nucleotides) under Pleosporaceae sp. KUC21239. Its description in RNAcentral is "5.8S ribosomal RNA". The stretch from base 1 to 132 matches the Rfam family "5.8S ribosomal RNA", at positions 23 to 154 of the family's 154-position model. Rfam says of the family: 5.8S ribosomal RNA (5.8S rRNA) is a component of the large subunit of the eukaryotic ribosome. It is transcribed by RNA polymerase I as part of the 45S precursor that also contains 18S and 28S rRNA. The record is from RNAcentral. Lineage: Eukaryota; Fungi; Ascomycota; Dothideomycetes; Pleosporales; Pleosporaceae.